AACGCACCUUGCGCUCUCGGGCUAUUCCUGAGAGCAUGCUUGUUUGAGUGUCGCUUACCCUCUCAACCCCAGUUGUCUUAUCGGCAGCUUGCUUAGGGUUGGAUCGUGACGCCUGUGGAGUCUCUUUCUAAGAGAAUCGACUGCGUUGAAAUGUAACAAGCUGAAUCCUGAAAGCGGCUUGACCCGUUGUCGUAAUUUUAAACAAUUCAAUGGGGACGCUUUGUAGGAACGGGCUUACCAUAAAGUCUUUAUAGACGUUUUAACAAAUGACCUCAAAUCAAGUAGGACUACCCGCUGAACUUAA
Molecule: unclassified non-coding RNA, 304 nt
Filed under: uncultured Agaricostilbales
Lineage: Eukaryota; Fungi; Basidiomycota; Agaricostilbomycetes
Description: sequence contains 5.8S rRNA gene, ITS2, 28S rRNA gene
Source: RNAcentral